Molecule: long non-coding RNA, 928 nt
Filed under: Nicotiana benthamiana
Lineage: Eukaryota; Viridiplantae; Streptophyta; Magnoliopsida; Solanales; Solanaceae
Description: long non-coding RNA (NBEN_LNC037413)
Source: RNAcentral
GCAAAGGUCAUUUUUGGUGGCUUUAAAAAGGCAAGAAGGGAAGGAAGAAAAUUAUACAGCCUUACCUUACAAAAAUGGCUAGUCUUACUGUUCCGGCAGAAGUUCCUUCAGUUGCUGAAGACUGUGAACAACUCCGAGCUGCCUUCAAAGGUCUACUACUAAUCUCUUUGAUCUUUUAAGUAUAUUCUAUACAUCUAGUUGUGAUGGUUUAGAUUGAGUUUUGAUGGUUACUGUGUGCAGCAGGAUGGGGAACAAACGAGAAGUUGAUCAUAUCAAUUUUGGCUAAUAGAAAUGCUGCUCAACGCAAGUUGAUUCAACAGACUUAUGCUGAGACUUUUGGUGAAGAUAUCCUUAAAGAGUUGGACAGAGAACUUACCAAUGAUUUGAGAAAUUGAUGGCAGUGUGGACAUUGAAUCCUUCAGAGCGCGAUGCCUAUUUGGCUAAGGAAGCUACUAAGAGAUGGACAAAAAGCAAUUUUGUUCUUGUGGAACUAGCUUGUACCAGAUCUCCUAAAGAAUUGGUUUUGGGAAGGGAAGCUUAUCAUGCUCGUUUGAGGUUUUUUUCUUAAGAUAAUAACAUGAAACAAGUUUAAUAAAACCUUAGAUCAAAGGCGCGGAUUUAUUUUGAUCUGUUGAAAAGAAACCAUGCUUUUAGUACAUGUACACAUGCUAGAAAAUGUAUCCUUAUAACAACCAUACUUUUGAUUCUAGAUCCUUGUAUGAAAAGGCUAACACUUAGGUUUUUCUCUCAGAAAUUGGUGGUAGUGUGGACAUUGGAUCCUCCAGAGCGCGAUGCCUAUUUGGCUAAGGAAGCUACUAAGAGAUGGACAAAAAGCAAUUUUGUUCUUGUGGAACUAGCUUGUACCAGAUCUCCUAAAGAAUUGGUUUUGGCAAGGGAAGCUUAUCAUGCUCGUUACAAGAAAUCUCUU